CCCUUAGAUGUUCUGGGCUGCACGCGUGCUACACUGAUAUUGCCAAUAUGUCAUUCUUAUCCGCAAUGGAUUGGGUAAUCAAGUAAUGAAAUUUCAUGCUUGGAAUCGGUAAUUGCAAUUUUAUCGUGAACGAGGAAUUCCUAGUAAGCACUAGUCAUCAGCUAAUGUUGAUUAUGUCCCUGCCCUUUGUACACACCGCCCGUCGCUACUACUGAUUGGGUGUUCAAGUGAGAUGCUUAGACCCUUGUUGCAUGGUUCAUUAUUGUGCUCCGAAAGGAAAAAGUUUCAAGCUUGAGUGUCUAGAGGAAGUAAAAGUCGUAACA
Molecule: ribosomal RNA, 323 nt
Filed under: uncultured eukaryote
Lineage: Eukaryota
Description: partial 18S ribosomal RNA
Rfam family: Eukaryotic small subunit ribosomal RNA
Source: RNAcentral